GAUGAACGCUGGCGGCGUGCCUAAUACAUGCAAGUCGAGCGAACGGACGAGAAGCUUGCUUCUCUGAUGUUAGCGGCGGACGGGUGAGUAACACGUGGAUAACCUACCUAUAAGACUGGGAUAACUUCGGGAAACCGGAGCUAAUACCGGAUGAUAUUUUGAACCGCAUGGUUCAAAAGUGAAAGACGGUCUUGCUGUCACUUAUAGAUGGAUCCGCGCUGCAUUAGCUAGUUGGUAAGGUAACGGCUUACCAAGGCAACGAUGCAUAGCCGACCUGAGAGGGUGAUCGGCCACACUGGAACUGAGACACGGUCCAGACUCCUACGGGAGGCAGCAGUAGGGAAUCUUCCGCAAUGGGCGAAAGCCUGACGGGGCAACGCCGCGGGAGUGAUGAAGGUCUUCGGAUCGUAAAACUCUGUUAUUAGGGAAGAACAUAUGUGUAAGUAACUGUGCACAUCUUGACGGUACCUAAUCAGAAAGCCACGGCUAACUACGUG
Molecule: ribosomal RNA, 497 nt
Filed under: uncultured bacterium
Lineage: Bacteria
Description: partial 16S ribosomal RNA
Rfam family: Bacterial small subunit ribosomal RNA
Source: RNAcentral